This 882-nucleotide ribosomal RNA is filed under the name Alteromonas sp. RNAcentral's name for it is "bacterial SSU rRNA". It matches the Rfam family "Bacterial small subunit ribosomal RNA", at positions 59 to 937 of the family's 1533-position model. Lineage: Bacteria; Pseudomonadati; Pseudomonadota; Gammaproteobacteria; Alteromonadales; Alteromonadaceae. The record is from RNAcentral.
CAGUCGAACGGUAGCAUUUCUAGCUUGCUAGUAAGAUGACGAGUGGCGGACGGGUGAGUAAUGCUUGGGAACUUGCCUUUGCGAGGGGGAUAACAGUUGGAAACGACUGCUAAUACCGCAUAAUGUCUUCGGACCAAACGGGGCUUCGGCUCCGGCGCAAAGAGAGGCCCAAGUGAGAUUAGCUAGUUGGUAAGGUAACGGCUUACCAAGGCGACGAUCUCUAGCUGUUCUGAGAGGAAGAUCAGCCACACUGGGACUGAGACACGGCCCAGACUCCUACGGGAGGCAGCAGUGGGGAAUAUUGCACAAUGGGGGAAACCCUGAUGCAGCCAUGCCGCGUGUGUGAAGAAGGCCUUCGGGUUGUAAAGCACUUUCAGUUGUGAGGAAAAGUUAGUAGUUAAUACCUGCUAGCCGUGACGUUAACAACAGAAGAAGCACCGGCUAACUCCGUGCCAGCAGCCGCGGUAAUACGGAGGGUGCGAGCGUUAAUCGGAAUUACUGGGCGUAAAGCGCACGCAGGCGGUUUGUUAAGCUAGAUGUGAAAGCCCCGGGCUCAACCUGGGAUGGUCAUUUAGAACUGGCAGACUAGAGUCUUGGAGAGGGGAGUGGAAUUCCAGGUGUAGCGGUGAAAUGCGUAGAUAUCUGGAGGAACAUCAGUGGCGAAGGCGACUCCCUGGCCAAAGACUGACGCUCAUGUGCGAAAGUGUGGGUAGCGAACAGGAUUAGAUACCCUGGUAGUCCACACCGUAAACGCUGUCUACUAGCUGUGUGUGUCUUUAAGACGUGCGUAGCGAAGCUAACGCGCUAAGUAGACCGCCUGGGGAGUACGGCCGCAAGGUUAAAACUCAAAUGAAUUGACGGGGGCCCGCACAAGCGGUGGAG